This 64-nucleotide transfer RNA is filed under the name Cryptocephalus ramburii. Its description in RNAcentral is "tRNA-Phe". Lineage: Eukaryota; Metazoa; Arthropoda; Insecta; Coleoptera; Chrysomelidae. The record is from RNAcentral.
ACUUAAAUAGCUUAUAUGAGAGCGUAGUAUUGAAGAUACUAAGGAAAAGUAGAUUUUUUAAGUA